GGCUCAGAACBAACGCUGGCGGCAGGCUUAACACAUGCAAGUCGAACGCUCCGCAAGGAGAGUGGCAGACGGGUGAGUAACACGUGGGAAUCUACCCUUUWCUACGGAAUAACGCAUGGAAACGUGUGCUAAUACCGUAUGUGUCCUUCGGGAGAAAGAUUUAUCGGKAAAGGAUGAGCCCGCGUUGGAUUAGCUAGUUGGUGGGGUAAAGGCCUACCAAGGCGACGAUCCAUAGCUGGUCUGAGAGGAUGAUCAGCCACAUUGGGACUGAGACACGGCCCAAACUCCUACGGGAGGCAGCAGUGGGGAAUAUUGGACAAUGGGCGCAAGCCUGAUCCAGCCAUGCCGCGUGAGUGAUGAAGGCCCUAGGGUUGUAAAGCUCUUUCACCGGAGAAGAUAAUGACGGUAUCCGGAGAAGAAGCCCCGGCUAACUUCGUGCCAGCAGCCGCGGU
This 452-nucleotide ribosomal RNA is filed under the name uncultured bacterium. RNAcentral describes it as "bacterial SSU rRNA". It matches the Rfam family "Bacterial small subunit ribosomal RNA", at positions 21 to 521 of the family's 1533-position model. The record is from RNAcentral.